Lutra lutra (Eurasian river otter) is the source of this 586-nucleotide long non-coding RNA. RefSeq lists it as uncharacterized. The transcript is spliced from 2 exons. The record is from RefSeq and is a predicted model, not a curated record. Lineage: Eukaryota; Metazoa; Chordata; Mammalia; Carnivora; Mustelidae.
CGUCUGCAGGGAAUGGGACGAUGAGGAGGAAAAAGGUGUCUAGUUAGUGGGACAAAUCUGUGACAUCUUCAGAUGGAGAUCUGGAAACUGUCUUGCUCUCCCAUUCCCCCUGCUUAGAAACUACUCCGAAGUUUACUUCCCAACCCCAGACAACCUGGUGUGUAGAGCUGCUAGAGCACCUGUGACAGGUCGAACAGCAUUUUCAACCUUUCAACAGGGCAGCAGUGUAAAGACGGCAGCUACCUUCUGAAGACAAGACAGUGAAUGAGUCCUACCCACUUUCAAUCCCACCGUCUCCCCCCACCCCCACCACUGCUCUGAGAAAAGGCUACUCUCUCUAAAGAGAAUUAUGGCCUCUUGGAGAGGAGUGAUCAAACGGUGAUUUCACUGAUCCCAAGAAUACCUGAAGUCGGGAAGCUGUCUCUGAGCCAGGAAGCCCUUAUCCCGGCUCCCCGGCCGCCUAUGAUGGAGGAGAGGUCACCUGUACUACCACCACAGCUCCCCACCCCUACCACACAGCAGCGCUGAGAGCCCACUGCAGGCAAGGCACCACACCCACAAAUUUGACAGAAGAAAACAGCAGGGG